CGCCUCCCAAAAGGUAACGGAGGCGCUCAAAGGUUCUCUCAGUACGGUCGGAAAUCGUACGUAGAGUGUAAAGGCAAAAGAGAGCUUGAUUGCAAGACAUACAGGUCGAGCAAGGAUGAAAAUCGGACUUAGUGAUCCGGUGGUUCUGCGUGGAAGGGCCAUCGCUCAACGGAUAAAAGCUACCCUGGGGAUAACAGGCUUAUCUCCCCCAAGAGUCCACAUCGACGGGGAGGUUUGGCACCUCGAUGUCGGCUCAUCACAUCCUGGGGCUGUAGUAGGUCCCAAGGGUUGGGCUGUUCGCCCAUUAAAGUGGUACGCGAGCUGGGUUCAGAACGUCGUGAGACAGUUCGGUCCCUAUCCGUCGCAGGCGUAGGAAAUUUGAGAAGACCUGUCCUUAGUACGAGAGGACCGGGAUGGACGUACCUCUGGUGUACCAGUUGUCCUGCCAAGGGCAUGGCUGGGUAGCUAUGUACGGAAUGGAUAAGCGCUGAAAGCAUCUAAGCGCGAAGCCAACUUCAAGAUAAGAUUUCCCACCGCAAGGGUAAGACCCCAGAAAGACUAUCUGGUUGAUAGGUCGAAGGUGUAAGUGCAGCAAUGUAUUUAGCUUAUCGAUACUAAUAGGUCGAGGACUUGACCAA
RNAcentral lists this ribosomal RNA (638 nucleotides) under Clostridioides difficile. RNAcentral's name for it is "partial 23S ribosomal RNA". It matches the Rfam family "Bacterial large subunit ribosomal RNA", at positions 2284 to 2925 of the family's 2925-position model. Lineage: Bacteria; Bacillati; Bacillota; Clostridia; Peptostreptococcales; Peptostreptococcaceae. The record is from RNAcentral.